GGAGGCAUAGCUCAAGUGGUAGGGUGCGUGCUCGGCAUGCGCGAGGCCUCGGGUUCAAUCCCCCGUGCCUCCU
RNAcentral lists this transfer RNA (73 nucleotides) under Camelus bactrianus (Bactrian camel). It matches the Rfam family "tRNA". From Rfam's summary of the family: Transfer RNA (tRNA) molecules are approximately 80 nucleotides in length. The record is from Rfam by way of RNAcentral. RNAcentral also lists the same sequence under 1 other name. Lineage: Eukaryota; Metazoa; Chordata; Mammalia; Artiodactyla; Camelidae.